Molecule: transfer RNA, 72 nt
Filed under: Camelus bactrianus (Bactrian camel)
Lineage: Eukaryota; Metazoa; Chordata; Mammalia; Artiodactyla; Camelidae
Also listed under: 2 other names
Rfam family: tRNA
About the family: Transfer RNA (tRNA) molecules are approximately 80 nucleotides in length. Their secondary structure includes four short double-helical elements and three loops (D, anti-codon, and T loops).
Source: Rfam by way of RNAcentral
GGGGGUAUAGCUCAGUAGUAAAGUGAGUGCUUAGCAUGCAUGAAGUCCUGGGUUCUAUUCCCAGUAUCUCCA